Molecule: ribosomal RNA, 490 nt
Filed under: uncultured bacterium
Lineage: Bacteria
Description: partial 16S ribosomal RNA
Rfam family: Bacterial small subunit ribosomal RNA
Source: RNAcentral
AUUGAACGCUGGCGGCAUGCUUUACACAUGCAAGUCGGACGGCAGCACAGAGAAGCUUGCUUCUUGGGUGGCGAGUGGCGAACGGGUGAGUAAUAUAUCGGAACGUACCGAGUAAUGGGGGAUAACUAAUCGAAAGAUUAGCUAAUACCGCAUAUUCUCUGAGGAGGAAAGCAGGGGACCUUCGGGCCUUGCGUUAUUCGAGCGGCCGAUAUCUGAUUAGCUAGUUGGUGGGGUAAAGGCCUACCAAGGCGACGAUCAGUAGCGGGUCUGAGAGGAUGAUCCGCCACACUGGGACUGAGACACGGCCCAGACUCCUACGGGAGGCAGCAGUGGGGAAUUUUGGACAAUGGGCGCAAGCCUGAUCCAGCCAUGCCGCGUGUCUGAAGAAGGCCUUCGGGUUGUAAAGGACUUUUGUCAGGGAAGAAAAGGCUGCUGCUAAUACCGACAGCUGAUGACGGUACCUGAAGAAUAAGCACCGGCUAACUACGUG